This 231-nucleotide ribosomal RNA is filed under the name uncultured bacterium. Its description in RNAcentral is "partial 16S ribosomal RNA". It matches the Rfam family "Bacterial small subunit ribosomal RNA", at positions 524 to 754 of the family's 1533-position model. The record is from RNAcentral.
UACGAAGGGGGCUAGCGUUGUUCGGAAUUACUGGGCGUAAAGCGCGCGCAGGCGGUCUUCCAAGUCAGUGGUGAAAGCCCGGAGCUCAACUCCGGAACUGCCAUUGAAACUGUUAGACUUGAGGACGAGAGAGGUGAGUGGAAUUCCCAGUGUAGAGGUGGAAUUCGUAGAUAUUAUGAAGAACACCAGUGGCGAAGGCGGCGACCUGGUCCUUGACUGACGCUGAGGCGC